Molecule: ribosomal RNA, 370 nt
Filed under: uncultured bacterium
Lineage: Bacteria
Description: partial 16S ribosomal RNA
Rfam family: Bacterial small subunit ribosomal RNA
Source: RNAcentral
CCUACGGGAGGCAGCAGUGGGGAAUAUUGCACAAUGGGGGAAACCCUGAUGCAGCGACGCCGCGUGAGUGAAGAAGUAUUUCGGUAUGUAAAGCUCUAUCAGCAGGGGAGAAGAAAGACGGUACCUGACUAAGAAGGCCCGGCUAAAUACGUGCCAGCAGCCGCGGGAAUACGUAGGGGGCAAGCGUUAUCCGGAUUUACUGGGUGUAAAGGGGUCGCAGACGGCAAUGCAAGCUAGGAGUGAAAGCCCGGGGCCCAACCCCGGGACUGCUCUUGGUACUGCAUGGCGGGAGUACAGGAGGGGCAAGCGGAAUUCCUAGUGUAGCGGUGAAAUGCGUAGAUAUUAGGAGGAACACCGGUGGCGAAGGCGG